This is a long non-coding RNA of Gavialis gangeticus (Gharial), 435 nucleotides long. RefSeq lists it as uncharacterized. Lineage: Eukaryota; Metazoa; Chordata; Crocodylia; Gavialidae. The transcript has 2 exons. The record is from RefSeq and is a predicted model, not a curated record.
GUGUGUGUGUGUGUGUGUGUGUGUGUGUGUCUUAUAUAAGUUACUGCCAUUUACAAAUGGUGGCAUAACUAAAAUUUAAGGAGAAUAAAAAGUAUUACAAUAUAUCUGUUCUUAUUUUUGUGAUAGAAUUGGUUUAAAUACAGCUGUUAUCCUUGUGAAAACAUAGCCACAUGUAACUGGAAGGAUGGAUAAAUAAUUUGGUUUUGUUCUUUUUACUUUUUGGGUUUCACACAGUGCUCAGAAGAGAUCUUCAUGUAAACCUCGAGAGCCUGGUGCUCUUAUGCUGUAAUUUACAAUGUGCUACCAAACACUUAAGUGGAGGUCUACACAUAUAUUGUAAGCCUCAGGGCCAGAGAUGUAUUACACAGUUGAGGUUGCAAAGCCACUCCAUUGCUGCCAAAUAAACAAAUCAGAGUUCAAAUCCUCCAUGUGUUA